GGGGAUUUGGCUCAGUGGUAGAGUGCUUGCCUAGCAAGCACAAGACCCUGGGUUCGGUCCCCAGCUCCG
This 69-nucleotide transfer RNA is filed under the name Rattus norvegicus (Norway rat). It matches the Rfam family "tRNA". Rfam says of the family: Transfer RNA (tRNA) molecules are approximately 80 nucleotides in length. Their secondary structure includes four short double-helical elements and three loops (D, anti-codon, and T loops). Further hydrogen bonds mediate the characteristic L-shaped molecular structure. tRNAs have two regions of fundamental functional importance: the anti-codon, which is responsible for specific mRNA codon recognition, and the 3' end, to which the tRNAs corresponding amino acid is attached (by aminoacyl-tRNA synthetases). tRNAs cope with the degeneracy of the genetic code in two manners: having more than one tRNA (with a specific anti-codon) for a particular amino acid; and 'wobble' base-pairing, i.e. permitting non-standard base-pairing at the 3rd anti-codon position. Lineage: Eukaryota; Metazoa; Chordata; Mammalia; Rodentia; Muridae. The record is from Rfam by way of RNAcentral.